Thalassophryne amazonica is the source of this 1225-nucleotide long non-coding RNA. RefSeq lists it as uncharacterized. The record is from RefSeq and is a predicted model, not a curated record. NCBI's taxonomy places the organism in Eukaryota, Metazoa, Chordata, Actinopteri, Batrachoidiformes, Batrachoididae. The transcript is spliced from 3 exons.
GUGUGAACUGUCAAUUAAUUGCAAAGAUUACAUAAUUGUGAUUUUGGGUCACGGUGGCUUGAUUUUAAAGUCAGCAAAAAAUCAUGGUCUGUUCAGACGAAAUUCCACAGCAGAUUUGUUGCUUACAAUAAAAGUAUAAAACUUUGGUUAUGGUCCAUAAUUUUCAUUACAAAAAAAAAACCAAAAAAAAAAAACAUACCAAUAAAUUCCUAAAAACAACAAUUAUUAUUUAAACUUUAAAUUUUUAACCGCUCAACCCUUCAAACCAUGGGCUUUUUGUUUUCAACUGACUGAGCCUCUUGAUUCCCAGAAAGAUCCAUAAAUCAAUAAAUGCAGUAACUGUGGCCUCAGUUGUUUGCCAGCCAUAAAUAGUCCAGUGAAAGGUGUUAAUUAUCCAUUAAUGUAAUUUUUCUGCAGAUUUACCUGACAGAGAAAUGCACGCACAUAAGAUAAAUCAAACUGAAGAGUGUGAAAAAUUAAGCAUUUAAUAUUUAGCUUGUUUUGAUCUCCCUCUCGCACAAACAGUGAGGAAAUAUGACGGCAAACUAUCAAAAUCCAGCAUAUAUGUCAAUAAAGUGGCAGAUCUCUGUAGAAAUAUGGUAUCAUCUCUAGUGCUUCAACUCUACGGGAGACAACAAAACUGCACAAUGGUCACUGAAGGGGUUACACAGAAACUUGUUUUUGCAUCCCCUCUGCAGAUCAGGCACAUUUUAAUCUGCACAGCACAUUUUAGUCUGCACAACAGACAUACAACUGCUGCCAUCCUGUGUAACGGACCCCUAAAAACACCACAUCCUACAGGGUAGUUACUACGCACAUGGAGUGACAUAACGUGCCUUUCUGUGGGAUUCUGCUCCAACACUUGUUCAUACCAGAUCACGAUGUGGUGCCCAGCCAACUUAUCAGAACAUAUGUCACCAGUUUAUCGGAGAAGAUGAUGGUGUGGGUGGGGCACCUGAGUUUUUUCAGAUCAAAAAGGGAUAUGACACAAGAAACUGUCAGGAACCCCUGGAAAUGUGAUUAACAAGGCUCACAGAACCACUCAGUAAAUAAGAACAUAAUGAAGAAAAAACAGAAAACCAUCAGUCUUUAAGACACAGAAUGAUGAGAACUUUAGGAUGGUUGGGGGAUCUUCAUAUGGCCAGUUGGUUAGAGGGGAAGUUGAUCAGCUAAUCAGCAAGGUAAACUAGCCGUAUCAAGGCAAGCAGAAGGGAGCGCUCAGUGC